UGGGGAAUAUUGCACAAUGGGCGCAAGCCUGAUGCAGCCAUGCCGCGUGUGUGAAGAAGGCCUUCGGGUUGUAAAGCACUUUCAGCGAGGAGGAAGGUGGUGAACUUAAUACGUUCAUCAAUUGACGUUACUCGCAGAAGAAGCACCGGCUAACUCCGUGCCAGCAGCCGCGGUAAUACGGAGGGUGCAAGCGUUAAUCGGAAUUACUGGGCGUAAAGCGCGCGCAGGCGGUUUGUUAAGUCAGAUGUGAAAUCCCCCGGGCUCAACCUGGGAACUGCAUUUGAAACUGGCAAGCUAGAGUCUCGUAGAGGGGGGUAGAAUUCCAGGUGUAGCGGUGAAAUGCGUAGAGAUCUGGAGGAAUACCGGUGGCGAAGGCGGCCCCCUGGACGAAGACUGACGCUCAGGUGCGAAAGCGUGGGGCAGCAAACAGGAUUAGAUACCCUGGUAGUCCACGCUGUAAACGAUGUCGAUUUGGAGGUUGUGCCCUUGAGGCGUGGCUUCCGGAGCUAACGCGUU
RNAcentral lists this ribosomal RNA (516 nucleotides) under uncultured bacterium. Its description in RNAcentral is "partial 16S ribosomal RNA". It matches the Rfam family "Bacterial small subunit ribosomal RNA", at positions 355 to 861 of the family's 1533-position model. The record is from RNAcentral.